Lutra lutra (Eurasian river otter) is the source of this 249-nucleotide long non-coding RNA. RefSeq lists it as uncharacterized. NCBI's taxonomy places the organism in Eukaryota, Metazoa, Chordata, Mammalia, Carnivora, Mustelidae. The transcript has 3 exons. The record is from RefSeq and is a predicted model, not a curated record.
AGAGCAGCACCCAGGAGCCCUCAAAACAAGCAACAUGAAUAAAGGCUGAAGGGGAAAGAGAAGUUCUACUGCACUGGCGUCUCCCACUGCUUGAAAUAACGGACUCUCUCGGCAGGUUUAUGGUUUUCUUCUGGACAAGAAGACAUGACAGGUGACACUAGAUGGCGUCCCAUCUGACCCACAAAGAGGUUUCCCACCCUAUUCAUUCCUACGGAGGUAUCUGUUCUGCUCUUGAGUCCCUGCUCGGAU